This 568-nucleotide ribosomal RNA is filed under the name Candida sp. SIL2015. RNAcentral describes it as "bacterial SSU rRNA". It matches the Rfam family "Eukaryotic small subunit ribosomal RNA", at positions 1106 to 1677 of the family's 1831-position model. The record is from RNAcentral. Lineage: Eukaryota; Fungi; Ascomycota; Pichiomycetes; Serinales; Debaryomycetaceae.
UUUGGGUUCUUGGGGGGCAGUAUGGGUCCGCCAGGCUUGAAAAAUUAAAAGGAAUUUGACGGAAUGGGCCCCCACCAGGAGUGGAGCCUGCGGGCUUUAAUUUUGACUCCAACCCCGGGGAACCUCACCCAGGUCCAGACACAAUAAGGAUUGACAGAUUGAGAGCUCUUUUCUUGAUUUUGUGGGUGGUGGUGCAUGGCCGUUCUUAGUUGGUGGAGUGAUUUGUCUGCUUAAUUGCGAUAACGAACGAGACCUUACCCUACUAAUCCGUGCUGCUAGCAUUUGCUGGUAUAGUCACUUCUUAGAGGGACUAUCGAUUUAAAAAACGAUGGAAGUUUGAGGCAAUAACAGGUCUGUGAUGCCCUUAGACGUUCUGGGCCGCACGCGCGCUACACUGACGGAGCCAGCGAGUAUAAACCUUGGCCGAGAGGUCUGGGAAAUCUUGUGAAACUCCGUCGUGCUGGGGAUAGAGCAUUGUAAUUGUUGCUCUUCAACGAGGAAUUCCUAGUCUACCCAAGUCAUCAGGGGGAAAAGAUUACGUCCCUGCCCUUUGUACACACCGCCCGUC